UACGAAGGGGGCUAGCGUUGUUCGGAAUUACUGGGCGUAAAGCGCACGUAGGCGGGUAUUUAAGUCAGGGGUGAAAUCCCGGAGCUCAACUCCGGAACUGCCUUUGAUACUGGGUACCUAGAGUAUGGAAGAGGUAAGUGGAAUUCCGAGUGUAGAGGUGAAAUUCGUAGAUAUUCGGAGGAACACCAGUGGCGAAGGCGGCUUACUGGUCCAUUACUGACGCUGAGGUGCGAAAGCGUGGGGAGCAAACAGGAUUAGAAACCCCCGUAGUCC
Molecule: ribosomal RNA, 273 nt
Filed under: uncultured bacterium
Lineage: Bacteria
Description: partial 16S ribosomal RNA
Rfam family: Bacterial small subunit ribosomal RNA
Source: RNAcentral